This 468-nucleotide ribosomal RNA is filed under the name uncultured bacterium. RNAcentral describes it as "partial 16S ribosomal RNA". The stretch from base 102 to 468 matches the Rfam family "Bacterial small subunit ribosomal RNA", at positions 1 to 507 of the family's 1533-position model. The record is from RNAcentral.
GGGGGGGGGGGGGGGGGGGGGGGGGGGGGGGGGGGCGGGGGGGGGGGGGGGGGUGUUGGGGGGGGCUGGGGUGGCGGGGGGGUGGGGGGCACGGGGGUCGGCUGACGUGGCCUUUGGUCUAGCUUCAGGGCAAUGGGUGUCGUCCCGGCUAGUGCCUCCUGCUUCCUGGGUGGGGUUUGUCUGUUUCGUCGUUUGGUGAUGGACUCGCGGCUUAUCAGCCUGUUGGUGGGGUAUUUGCUUACCAAGGCUUUGACGGGUAGCCGGCCUGCGAGGGUGACCGGCCACAUUGGGACUGAGAUACGGCCCAGACUCCUACGGGAGGCAGCAGUGGGGAAUAUUGCACAAUGGGCGGAAGCCUGAUGCAGCAACGCCGCGUGCGGGAUGACGGCCUUCGGGUUGUAAACCGCUUUGGCCUGUGACGAAGCGUGAGUGACGGGAAUGGGUAAAGAAGCACCGGCUAACUACGUG